Molecule: ribosomal RNA, 1341 nt
Filed under: uncultured bacterium
Lineage: Bacteria
Description: 16S ribosomal RNA
Rfam family: Bacterial small subunit ribosomal RNA
Source: RNAcentral
GACGAACGCUGGCGGCGUGCUUAACACAUGCAAGUCGAACGGUAAGGCUCCAGCUUGCUGGGGUACACGAGUGGCGAACGGGUGAGUAACACGUGGGUGACCUGCCCUGCACUUCGGGAUAAGCCUGGGAAACUGGGUCUAAUACCGGAUAGGACCGCACCGUGAGGGUGUGGUGGAAAGUUUUUUCGGUGUGGGAUGGGCCCGCGGCCUAUCAGCUUGUUGGUGGGGUAAUGGCCUACCAAGGCGGCGACGGGUAGCCGGCCUGAGAGGGUGGACGGCCACAUUGGGACUGAGACACGGCCCAGACUCCUACGGGAGGCAGCAGUGGGGAAUAUUGCACAAUGGGCGGAAGCCUGAUGCAGCGACGCCGCGUGGGGGAUGACGGCCUUCGGGUUGUAAACUCCUUUCACCAUCGACGAAGGGUUUCUGACGGUAGAUGGAGAAGAAGCACCGGCUAACUACGUGCCAGCAGCCGCGGUAAUACGUAGGGUGCGAGCGUUGUCCGGAAUUACUGGGCGUAAAGAGCUCAUAGGUGGUUUGUCGCGUCGUCUGUGAAAUUCCGGGGCUUAACUCCGGGCGUGCAGGCGAUACGGGCAUAACUUGAGUACUGUAGGGGAGACCGGAAUUCCUGGUGUAGCGGUGAAAUGCGCAGAUAUCAGGAGGAACACCGGUGGCGAAGGCGGGUCUCUGGGCAGUAACUGACGCUGAGGAGCGAAAGCAUGGGGAGCGAACAGGAUUAGAUACCCUGGUAGUCCAUGCCGUAAACGGUGGGCGCUAGGUGUGGGUUUCCUUCCACGGGAUCCGUGCCGUAGCUAACGCAUUAAGCGCCCCGCCUGGGGAGUACGGCCGCAAGGCUAAAACUCAAAGGAAUUGACGGGGGCCCGCACAAGCGGCGGAGCAUGUGGAUUAAUUCGAUGCAACGCGAAGAACCUUACCUGGGCUUGACAUAUACAGGAUCGCGCCAGAGAUGGUGUUUCCCUUGUGGCUUGUAUACAGGUGGUGCAUGGUUGUCGUCAGCUCGUGUCGUGAGAUGUUGGGUUAAGUCCCGCAACGAGCGCAACCCUUGUCUUAUGUUGCCAGCACGUUGUGGUGGGGACUCGUAAGAAACUGCCGGGGUUAACUCGGAGGAAGGUGGGGAUGACGUCAAAUCAUCAUGCCCCUUAUGUCCAGGGCUUCACACAUGCUACAAUGGUCGGUACAGUGGGUUGCCAGUCCGUGAGGGCGAGCUAAUCCCGCAAAGCCGGUCUCAGUUCGGAUCGGGGUCUGCAACUCGACCCCGUGAAGUCGGAGUCGCUAGUAAUCGCAGAUCAGCAACGCUGCGGUGAAUACGUUCCCGGGCCU